UACGAAGGGGGCUAGCGUUGCUCGGAAUCACUGGGCGUAAAGCGCACGUAGGCGGGUUGUUAAGUCAGGGGUGAAAUCCUGGAGCUCAACUCCAGAACUGCCUUUGAUACAGGCAACCUAGAGACUGGAAGAGGUUAGUGGAAUUCCCGGUGUAGCGGUGAAAUGCGUAGAGAUCGGGAGGAACACCAGUGGCGAAGGCGGCUACCUGGACCAGCACUGACACUGAGGCACGAAAGCGUGGGGAGCAAACAGG
Molecule: ribosomal RNA, 253 nt
Filed under: uncultured bacterium
Lineage: Bacteria
Description: partial 16S ribosomal RNA
Rfam family: Bacterial small subunit ribosomal RNA
Source: RNAcentral